AGUGAACGUUGGCGGCGUGGAUUAGGCAUGCAAGUCGAGCGAGAACCGUAGCAAUACGGGGACAGCGGCGAAAGGGACAGUAAUGUGUAGGUACCUACCUCCGGGUUCGGGAUAGCUGCGGGAAACUGCAGGUAAUACCGAAUAACGUCUCCGGACCAAAGGAGUGAUUCCACCUGGAGAGGGGCCUGCAUCCUAUUAGCUUGUUGGCGGGGUAACGGCCGACCAAGGCGACGAGGGUUAGCGGGUGUGAGGGCACGACCGGGGUCAUUGGGACUGAGACACUGCCCAGACACCUACGGGUGGCUGCAGUCGAGGAUCUUCGGCAAUGGGCGCAAGCCUGACGGAGCGACGCCGCGUGCGGGAUGAAGGCCUUCGGGUUGUAAACCGCUGUCGUAGAGGAGGAAGUGCAGGGGGGUUCUCCCCUCUGUUUGACCUAUUCUAGGAGGAAGGACGGGCUAAGUUCGUGCCAGCCGCCGCGGUAA
RNAcentral lists this ribosomal RNA (482 nucleotides) under uncultured bacterium. Its description in RNAcentral is "partial 16S ribosomal RNA". It matches the Rfam family "Bacterial small subunit ribosomal RNA", at positions 30 to 523 of the family's 1533-position model. The record is from RNAcentral.